Molecule: ribosomal RNA, 305 nt
Filed under: uncultured bacterium
Lineage: Bacteria
Description: bacterial SSU rRNA
Rfam family: Bacterial small subunit ribosomal RNA
Source: RNAcentral
CCUACGGGGGGCAGCCGUGGUUCAUCUUUCACACUUUUUUUCCCCCUUAUUCAGCAAUGCCGCGUGAAGGAUGAAGGUUUUCGGAUUGUAAACUUCUUUUGUACGGGACGAAGAAAGUGACGGUACCGUAAGAAUAAGCCACGGCUAACUACGUGCCAGCAGCCGCGGUAAUACGUAGGUGGCAAGCGUUAUCCGGAUUUACUGGGUGUAAAGGGCGAGUAGGCGGGAUUGCAAGUCAGAUGUGAAAACUAUGGGCUCAACCGAUAGAGUGCAUUUGAAACUGCAGUUCUUGAGUGAUGGAGAGG